UUUCCCGGACAUGUCCGGGAAAAUCCGGACGUAUGGUAACCCUACCCAGGGCGCAAGUCCUCGCCCCUCCGAGCUACAGCACCGUGACACAGUAACACAGGCAGCCCAUGGGCAUAGUGCUGGGGAAGCCCCACAAACCAGGGGCACGCCUCAUCUGGGACAAGGGCUAGCUCCCCAAAUGCGCCAGCAUGGUCAGCAGCACAUCCAGCCCUCCCUGCUUCACCUCACAGCCUUCAUUAGUGUGUAUCCAUUCACAGAGUCCAAGCGUCGGCUAGUGGCCUCCCAGUGACAUAAAAAUGGUCCAAAGAGGCUACCAGCUCCCAACACAUCAAAACAAGAGGGUAGCACACAACAAAGUUUCAGAGUGGUAUCUGGGUUACUCUGUAUCACCAAAAACAAAAACUCCAUUGAGGGUGCAGGUUUUGCAAAGUGAAUGCCGCACAGACCGUGUCUUGGUCCAGCCACCAUUGAAGGGCUCUGAUUAAUGCCAGCAGAAGUAUGACGACCUUGUCUAGCGGGUGAUGACCUGGUAUGUAUACCAAUGCCAGUCAUAAUUGGAGAGGCUGCAGCCUGAGUCAUUUAUGCUGCACCACAUAAGUGCAAGAGGCCAUGUGCUCCAGGAGCUUCAGGCAGCACCUUGCCAUGAUGUACAACAGGACCUUUUACGUCCUCCGGUGCCAGCGGAUCACCCAUAAGUGUGACCUGAGAGUCUCGGACUUCUGCCCUGGGAAAGGAACCCCUCUCCGACCGGGACGGCAAGGGUGCCCUCGUCUCUGAGGCUGUUGAGUGAAGAAGAUCACUACAGGGUAUUGCUUGCUGAGCAAGAGAUAAGAGCGGAAAGAAGGAACUGAGGAGGCAACGGGCAGAUGCCUAUAUACUGGACCAUGGAGGCGCCACUCUAGAGUCAACCUGAUGGAUACCACUAGGAGAAAAAUGUCCUGCAACGGUGCAGGCGAUGCGCACACUCCUCUGUUGGAAUGGACAUGAGCAAGCACUCAAAGAAGAAUCAUAAGUAACAUCAGUCAUUUUGCCAGUAUCCCAGAGGGACCUCUAGAGAGCAGCUUUUCUCAUUAGCCAGAGAGAGUCAGUUCCAAACCUUUAGUAGUCCUAAACCUGCCUUAUAUCAUCUCAUUUCCUGUUUGCAGAACUCAGCUCUCAUUCCUAACUGCCAUGGAUCCCUUCCUUCUAGCUUUCCAUCCUUUUUCCUGUUUCAAGGCAUGUCAGCCAAAACAAUCUCCUUUGCACUCCUAGCACUGAGGAGGAAAAGAAUAAUGGCUCUCGGCCAGACUGUAAACCCCCUAUUCACAAGGGUGACCUAAUUCCAAUGGGACUACUCAUAUGAGUAAGGCCAAGUCUACACCUAAAAAUUAGCUUGACCUAGCUACAUCAUUCAGGGCUGUGAAAAAUGUUGCACUCUGUGCAAUGUAGUGAGGUCCAUCUAAUCCACACUGUAGAAGCAAUUAAGUGAAUGGAAGGAUUCUUUCACCUCUCAGAGAGGUGCUGGUUCCAGGACCCCUGGCAACCCUGUCUACUUUAAGCACUGGCUGUCUGCAGGUAAUGCUGAACGGAGUUCUCAAGAGAGUGGUGUCUGCUAUUUGGCUGGGGAUAGUGGGCAGCCCUCUCUUCACAGUGAGCAGUGCAAGGCUGAUUAGGUUUGCUGCACUUGGGCAGGAAAUUCUGGGACAUUGGGCCAAAUCGCUGAAGUGGCUGGGUAGGUUUUGUAGAUUGGCUGGAGGGAGAAACAUUCAGGGAGGUUUCUUCGGCCUGGGAUUUCUCGGUGAUACAGCAACCUGCAAUGGAAACAAGAUUGUUUCUUUGUUUCUUUUAGCCUGCUCAUUGGAAGGACUUGGCUAUGCUGAAUGCAGCUUGUGCUGACCACGGGGGGCCCAGAGAUCUGCCCACAGGCUUCCUCAGCUUGUCUUCCCAAAUGCUAGAAUUGCUGCUGUGAACAAAUGUGGUUUCCAUGCUGGCCAUCACAUGUGGUAACUUGACCUAGUUUUAAGGGGACUAUAAAUACAAAUAGAUAAAAAGACUAACUGAGAGAGAAGGGGUGAGAUGGGGUGGGGCAGGAGAGCAAUUAUAACAUUAAAGACCAAGUUUUCAAAACCACACACACAAAUUUCAGGGCACUCAAAGUUGCAAGCAAUACAUUGGGCACCCAGAGAGCUGGUGUGGCUGAUAUUGCAGGCUCCUGGAUAGCUUCAGCGCACCCAGAUUUCAGAGCUGGGAAGUUUUAAAUAAUACAUUUCUGUGCUGAGUGAGUUUCCACCACAGUCAGUGCAGAAAUCAGGCUUCACUCAGUGUUUAGACUUUCUCUGGGAUUUAUCUUUAAUUUUUUUGAUCUCGAUGGGGUUUUCAUUGGAUCUGAAGAGCAGGAGCCAGUGCAGAUAUUGACCAGUGCAGUUUACAGAAUGAGUGGGGACAACAUCCUUGCACCACAGAGAGACAGAUAAUGACAGGAUGCAACUGUGGGGACUCUAUUAUAGAAGGAGGGGUGGCACUGGGCAAUCCUAUUGCAGAGAGAGAGAGAGAGAGAGCACUCCAUUGAACCUAUCACAGAGACAGGUCAGCAUUUGAUACCAGCACCCUAUAGUACAGAAAGGCAAGUCAGGGUAUGGCACUGUUAGCCAUACACCCCAGAGAGCGAUGGGUGGGGUAUGGCAGCAGGGAGAUCAGACAAGUCAUGACUGGUGACACUAUCACUGAGUGUCAGGUUCAGGGUAGGCACGAAGGAAUCAAAUGCAACAUAUUGCUCAUGGACUUCUAGUGUGUUGGCAACACUUGGAUCUGUCCUCUCGUUCCAUCGUUUUGAGCUCUGUUCUCAAGAGCAUCGGAAUCCAGCACUCAUGACCUUUGCUCCCACCAGUGAUCUCACAGUAACCAACAAGCGGAAAGGGGCUAAAAGCAGAGGCUUUGUCCAUUUCAGAGAAUGCAGAGCACUCUGAGCUGGCAGUGCUGCUGGGGUUUCCUACUGCUGUGUGAGCAGGUUAGGAGCUGACUCACUCUUCAGAGCCACAAUCCCCAUACCCCAGUCUCCGUUUUAUGCUUCCUGCCCCUUCAGACCUCAUGUAUACGCACCACAGCUCUGACGGUGAUGCAUCAAUUCUCUGAAAUGUCAAGGAUCGGCUGGAGAGGGGGCCCAUGGCACCAAUCAGAUGUCAUAGACCAGGCCUGAUGGGAACAUGGGGGGAAGGGGAGGGAGAGAAUCAUCCAACUAGCACAACAGAAAUGCAGUGUGUUAGCAGUGAGCAAACCUAGACUCUGUGCUUGAAGCGGAGGGGGCCCAGAGAGUGGGUUGACCUUACACAUCCUGAUAGUGGGCGGGGGAGGGCGGCCUAGACAGUGCUGGUGUUAGCCCAUUGGUGGCCCUAAGCAGGAAUAUUCAGGGGGAUCCUCCACAACACAUGCUAAUAAUUAAUAGCAGAGCCCCUUGAGCUGCUCAGGACCCAAAGCAAUUGCUUAGUCUACUUAUGCCUAGCACUAGCACUGAGCUUAAAGCUUUACCAGCUGAGGUUCUGGCCUCACUAUUUCUCUUACUCGUUUUACUUUAACUUGUGAUUACUUUCAUGGAGUCACUCCCAUGUGAAUUAUUUCAUUUCAAAGCAGAUUGCAGAAGCUGUAGCAGCUGCCUGUCUUUCCUUCCCGCUCAGCAGUAAGAGAAAUCUCACACCAUCUUUGUCUGGGUGCUGGUGCAUGUUGUUAAGGCGAGACUUACAGAGGGUAUGGUGCAAGAGCUCUGCACUUGCAGUGGGAGGCUGUGCAGUCCAGUGGUUAAAGUAGGGAUCUGAGAGUCGAGACACUUUGGAUUCAAUUCUUCAUUACCCUGCACCUGGGUUAUAAAAAAUCCAAAUGGUAGCAAUUUACAUCCACUUUUCAUAGGUGUAAGUGACUGUAAGAGGUAAAGGAUGAUGGCAAAUCAGAUCCAUAGGUUCUAUGCCUGAGUCUGCCACAGACUUCCUGGUGACUUACCCUCUUGCUGUCUCAGUUUCACCAGGUUUUAAAUAGGGAUAGCACCACUGAGGGAGGCUUAUGUGAGGUUUCAUUACUUGCCGUCCCUAGUGUGCUUGAAGCUGUUCCUGUGGCAGGUGAGAAGCUGUGGAAAGCUUGUUUUUUUCCGCCCCUGCUUUCGCUUUCCUUCCCGGUACAGCGAUUAGCAUCUGCGUGGGUGAACUCAACCUUUGUUCAUGAGCUAGAAUCCAGCAAAGUGGAAAUUGUAUGAAGGGGAAUUUGCUUAUUUUCAUAUUGAAUUUCCUCUUGAGUCUGGAGGGUUCCAGAGCAUCAUUGGCUCAUGAGGCCAGCUGGGCCCCAGAGCUUCUCCACAGUAGAUUCUGCACUAGCAGCAGACCCUGUGUCCUGGCAACUGGGACCCUUUAAAUACAGGCACUGAGACUUGAUAGGGACAAAUUUAAUCUAGGUGUUUUACUGUCCCCAAUCAUGCACUGGGCUGAGUAUAAAACCUGGCAUGGGUUCUCUGAGGUGUAGCAUGCUGUGCUUCAAAGCAGCACCUUGGAACCCCCAUAUUCACUACUGCCAUAUAAUUAUGAUCUGUUUGGUACAAAGUAUGCCUUGAGCUAUUAUUUUAAAAGGCUUGAUCUGUUGAACAUUAAUAUCCUGUUGGAUAGUAUGUGCUAUCAUUGUAUGGGAAGUUAUGCAGUUUUGCUGUGUGUGUGUUACUGCAAUAUGUUGUAAGGUUGGGAACACCCACAACCAGCCUUUCAGCUGCAACAAUGGAGGAGUCAGACUUGCUGAUGGCCCAUGAAAGGAAUACACACUUCCAGGAACCAUAUUCAAAAGAGACUUCUCAGAGAUAGCACUUAGACCAGGAGUUGUGAAGGUGUUUUCUCCAGGAAUUGAAAUUAGGAAGGGUGUUCAAAUAUACAAGGUGGGGUGAAGGCCAAAGAGGGAUGAGACCAUGAGGGUGAAGGUGGGCUGUAUGGCACCAUAAUAAAAACUGAAAAAUGUUUCACAACCAUUUUAUUAGAUUCAAUCAUGUUUUAAAAUCAUCACAAAUAUUAAAGUUGGCUACUCAAGCCUUCUAUGAAUCACUA
Long non-coding RNA from Chrysemys picta bellii (western painted turtle), 5048 nucleotides. RefSeq lists it as uncharacterized. NCBI's taxonomy places the organism in Eukaryota, Metazoa, Chordata, Testudines, Emydidae. The record is from RefSeq and is a predicted model, not a curated record.